This 329-nucleotide ribosomal RNA is filed under the name uncultured bacterium. Its description in RNAcentral is "bacterial SSU rRNA". It matches the Rfam family "Bacterial small subunit ribosomal RNA", at positions 28 to 334 of the family's 1533-position model. The record is from RNAcentral.
GAUGAACGCUGGCGGCGUGCUUAACACAUGCAAGUCGAGCGAAGCACUUAAGUUUGAUUCUUCGGAUGAAGACUUUUGUGACUGAGCGGGCGACGGGUGAAGGUAACGCGUAGGGUAACCUGCCUCAUACAGGGGGAUAACAGUUAGAAAUGACUGCUAAUACCGCAUAAGACCACAGAGCCGCAUGGCUCAGGGGUCAAAGGAGAAAUCCGCUGAAGGAUGGCCUCGCGUCCGAUUAGCUAGAUGGCGGGGUAACGGCCCACCAUGGCGACGAUCGGUAGCCGGACUGAGAGGUUGAUCGGCCACAUUGGGACUGAGACACGGCCCAG